CUACGGGAGGCUGCAGUGGGGAAUAUUGCACAAUGGAGGAAACUCUGAUGCAGCAACGCCGCGUGGAGGAUGACACAUUUCGGUGCGUAAACUCCUUUUAUAUGGGAAGAUAAUGACGGUACCAUAUGAAUAAGCACCGGCUAACUCCGUGCCAGCAGCCGCGGUAAUACGGAGGGUGCAAGCGUUACUCGGAAUCACUGGGCGUAAAGCGCGCGCAGGCGGCCUUUUAAGUUGGAUGUGAAAGCCUUCGGCUCAACCGUAGAACUGCAUCCAAAACUAUCAGGCUAGAGUGUGGGAGAGGAAGAUGGAAUUAGUUGUGUAGGGGUAAAAUCCGUAGAGAUAACUAGGAAUACCAAAAGCGAAGGCAAUCUUCUGGAACACUACUGACGCUGAGGCGCGAAAGCGUGGGGAGCAAACAGGAUUAGAUACCCCGGUAGUC
RNAcentral lists this ribosomal RNA (439 nucleotides) under uncultured bacterium. Its description in RNAcentral is "partial 16S ribosomal RNA". It matches the Rfam family "Bacterial small subunit ribosomal RNA", at positions 339 to 795 of the family's 1533-position model. The record is from RNAcentral.